CUUGCGUCCCCGCGUGUGUGCGCCUAAUCUCAGGUGGUCCACCCGAGACCCCUUGAGCACCAACCCUAGUCCCCCGCGCGGCCCCUUAUUCGCUCCGACAAGGUACAAAAAGGCUCUGGACGGCGGCGUGGUAGGAGGACGGGAGCGGGGGCGGGAAGUUCCCUGAAGGAGCGAGACAGGGAGGGACAGGGCAGAGGAGGAGAGGAAGGCGAUGCGACGGACAGGCGCACCCGCUCAGGCUGACUCUCGGGGGCGAGGUCGAGCCAGGGGCGGCUGCCCUGGGGGCGAGGCGACGCUGUCUCAACCUCCACCUCGCGGCGGAACCCGAGGACAGGAGCCUCAGAUGAAAGAAACAAUCAUGAACCAGGAAAAACUCGCCAAACUGCAGGCACAAGUGCGCAUUGGUGGGAAAGGAACUGCUCGCAGAAAGAAGAAGGUGGUUCAUAGAACAGCCACAGCAGAUGACAAAAAACUUCAGUUCUCCUUAAAGAAGUUAGGGGUAAACAAUAUCUCUGGUAUUGAAGAGGCAAGUAUCAAAUUUUGUUUCUUUAAAAAACAAGAUUUGGCUGGGAAAAGUUAACGUUAAUGCAUUAAAUGGGUUGUUUUUU
This 608-nucleotide small RNA is filed under the name Pan troglodytes (chimpanzee). Its description in RNAcentral is "retained intron". The record is from RNAcentral. Lineage: Eukaryota; Metazoa; Chordata; Mammalia; Primates; Hominidae.